Molecule: ribosomal RNA, 411 nt
Filed under: Triticum aestivum (bread wheat)
Lineage: Eukaryota; Viridiplantae; Streptophyta; Magnoliopsida; Poales; Poaceae
Description: partial small subunit ribosomal RNA
Source: RNAcentral
AUGAUGAAUAAAUUCUUGAUUACAAGUGAUUCAUCUUUCUUUCCGGAGUUGGUCAUCAUAUCACAUUCUCGGUUCGAGAGGCUUCAUCUUUCUUUUCGGAGUUCCAAGCUCUCUCAAUUAUCUCGUCGUGAAGCUCCAUCUAAAUCAUUGCAAGGGUUCACCUUGUGUUUUCAACCUCUCUUUAUUUCUAUCAUCCUUUUAUUACUGGAGUUCUUCAUGGAGGCUCUACAUGGUGGUUCAUCAAGGAUUCUUUUCAUUCUUCAAUUGUUCUUCAAGAUUUCUCUCGAAUCUAUGAUCUGCCAAGUUAUACUCAAAAAUAAACAUGGUGCUCAACACAUGUUUUGUUUUGAGGAGCUCAAGUAUUCUUCAUCUUGCAUUCCAAAGUGCAAUUCUUUUUGCCUUAUCUUUUGA